This 232-nucleotide long non-coding RNA is filed under the name Brassica napus (rape). Its description in RNAcentral is "long non-coding RNA (BNAP_LNC017094)". The record is from RNAcentral. Lineage: Eukaryota; Viridiplantae; Streptophyta; Magnoliopsida; Brassicales; Brassicaceae.
AAUUUGAAAUCUUAUCCCCAAAACCUCAUUUCUCAACUCUAAACCCUACACCCUAAACUCUAAACCCUAAACCCUAAAUUCUAAACCCUAAACCCUAAACCAUAAACCCUAAACCCUAAACUCUAAACCCUAAACCCUAAACUCUAAACCCUAAACCCUAUACCCUAAACCCUAAAAUCUAAACCCUAAACCAUAAACUCUAAACCCUAAACCCUAAACCCUAAACCCCACC